UCGUACCUUGUUGCUUCGGCGGGCCCGCCGUUUCGACGGCCGCCGGGGAGGCCCUGCGCCCCCGGGCCCGCGCCCGCCGAAGACCCCAACAUGAACGCUGUUCUGAAAGUAUGCAGUCUGAGUUGAUUAUCGUAAUCAGUUAAAACUUUCAACAACGGAUCUCUUGGUUCCGGCAUCGAUGAAGAACGCAGCGAAAUGCGAUAAGUAAUGUGAAUUGCAGAAUUCAGUGAAUCAUCGAGUCUUUGAACGCACAUUGCGCCCCCUGGUAUUCCGGGGGGCAUGCCUGUCCGAGCGUCAUUGCUGCCCUCAAGCACGGCUUGUGUGUUGGGCCCCCGUCCCCCUCUCCCGGGGGACGGGCCCGAAAGGCAGCGGCGGCACCGCGUCCGGUCCUCGAGCGUAUGGGGCUUUGUCACCUGCUCUGUAGGCCCGGCCGGCGCCAGCCGACACCCAACUUUAUUUUUCUAAGGUUGACCUCGGAUCAGGUAGGGAUACCCGCUGAACUUAA
This 505-nucleotide ribosomal RNA is filed under the name Aspergillus fumigatus. RNAcentral describes it as "eukaryotic LSU rRNA". The stretch from base 144 to 297 matches the Rfam family "5.8S ribosomal RNA". The record is from RNAcentral. Lineage: Eukaryota; Fungi; Ascomycota; Eurotiomycetes; Eurotiales; Aspergillaceae.